Molecule: transfer RNA, 75 nt
Filed under: archaeon
Lineage: Archaea
Also listed under: 1 other name
Description: tRNA-Arg
Rfam family: tRNA
About the family: Transfer RNA (tRNA) molecules are approximately 80 nucleotides in length.
Source: RNAcentral
GGCCUCGUAGCUCAGCCUGGAUAGAGCGACGGACUUCUAAUCCGUAGGUCGCAGGUUCAAAUCCUGUCGGGGCCG